RNAcentral lists this long non-coding RNA (1033 nucleotides) under Neogale vison (American mink). RNAcentral describes it as "Neovison vison (American mink) lncRNA (ENSNVIG00000010491.1)". Lineage: Eukaryota; Metazoa; Chordata; Mammalia; Carnivora; Mustelidae. The record is from RNAcentral.
GGAGAGAGAAGGCCCCGCCGUGCGUCCGCGACAGCGCUUGGCGCGGCUCCGGGCGCGCGUGAAGCCUUCGUGGGGCGGGCGCGCCGGUCCCCGCGCGGUGCGGCUGGCGGCCCUCCUCCUCCAGGAGCGCGCCUCGGUUUCCCGCGUUUGUCGGUGGCGGGUAAGGAGCGCAGGCCCGCGUGCGGCAUUCCCGUCCGAGCGGGGGUUCCUCCCGGCCGCGGGCCCGGAGACGCCGUCGAACGCGGGCGCUUAGCCUGCUGCCAGGUUUGCUUCGCGGUGGCCGCUGGUUACGCCGCGUCCGCGGGAGGGACGUUUCCCCGCAUCUUCACCAGCCCUGAGUGUCCGGUUUCGGCCGGUCCGAGGGGCGAAGAGCCGUAUCCUGGUUUCUGUUUCCAAGUCAGUGACAGGUCAUUUGCCUGCGGUUGCUGCCAGUCAAUACCUGUGACAAGGAUUUGUGCCAGAUGUAUUCUCCCAGGCGGGCCCCGCGGUCCAGCCCUAGAACACCGCGGCCCUCCCCAGGCCGGUACCUGGGCUCCUCCCGACCCCUCCAGCUGCUGCAAAUCCGGUUGCUCACGAGGCCAAAUGUCCAUAUUCAUCAGUCACCGGAACGGAUUAACUCCGACUGAAAUGCCCUCGCCCCAUUCGUCCACUGGGCUGGUGGUCUUUUUCCUUGUGAUUUGGUGGACUUUCUUUUCAGCCUGGAUACGGAUUACUGGCCAGUUACGUAUGUUGCGAAUGUCUUGCCUUUACCUGCUCACAGACUGACCUGUGCCCCGCGCUAACACUCGCGUGCUCAGGCCUGUUUGCCUUUUCCUUUGUGAUGUGUGCUCUGUCCUGCCCUCUGCCCCAGGACCCUCAUGGUGCUGUCUUUUCUCAGAGAGCCCUAACGUGUUCACUCAACCACCUGGAAUUUAUUUCUGAAUAUGAUGAGGUGUUGGGGUCUGAUUCUUUCCCAUAUGAUGAGCCCGUAUCCCCAUAAAGAGUUAAACAGGGACGCCUGGGUGGCUCAGUUGGUUGGGCAGCCGCCUUCGGC